Molecule: non-coding RNA, 88 nt
Filed under: Desulfotomaculum nigrificans
Lineage: Bacteria; Bacillati; Bacillota; Clostridia; Eubacteriales; Desulfotomaculaceae
Also listed under: 1 other name
Description: c-di-GMP sequence
Rfam family: c-di-GMP-I riboswitch aptamer
About the family: GEMM was predicted in a large-scale screen for bacterial structured RNA regulatory elements. Genes associated with GEMM are involved in a diverse array of functions, including chemotaxis regulation, signal transduction, secretion and chitin.
Source: RNAcentral
GGUUGAAAAAGGCAAACCUAUCCGAAAGGUAGGGGCGCAAAACCAUGGGUCUAAAUCGUUUCUGCGAUAUGAUCGCCAGGUUGCCAAC